RNAcentral lists this long non-coding RNA (257 nucleotides) under Rattus norvegicus (Norway rat). RNAcentral describes it as "long non-coding RNA NONRATT003617". Lineage: Eukaryota; Metazoa; Chordata; Mammalia; Rodentia; Muridae. The record is from RNAcentral.
CAGAUCCCGGUUACCCUGCCUGAACCUGAACUGCGCCAGAGCCCAACAUAUACACAAAGAACCCAAGCUGUCAAAAAGAGGAGGUGCCAAACAGGAGUUACGUUUCUGGCUAACUGUUUAUGCUGACUGAGAUGUGACAACCUGGGAUGUGACUUUUGUGCUUAAAAGCUCACCGUGAGAAAGGCUCAGGACUGCAUUUGGGCCCUGAACAUCCGGGGUAGUUGCUGACGGGCUAAUAAAGACUUCCUAUUGGCUUG